GAUGAACGCUGGCGGCGGGCUUAACACAUGCAAGUCGAACGAUGAAGCCCAGCUUGCUGGGUGGAUUAGUGGCGAACGGGUGAGUAACACGUGAGUAACCUGCCCUUGACUCUGGGAUAAGCCUGGGAAACUGGGUCUAAUACUGGAUAUGACUUCUCAUCGCAUGGUGGGGGGUGGAAAGAUUUAUUGGUCUUGGAUGGACUCGCGGCUUAUCAGCUUUUUGGUGGAGUAAUGGCUCACCAAGGCGACGACGGGUAGCCGGCCUUAGAGGGUGACCGGCCACACUGGGACUGAGAGACGGCCCAGACUCCUACGGGAGGCAGCAGUGGGGAAUAUUGCACAAUGGGCGCAAGCCUGAUGCAGCGACGCCGCGUGAGGGAUGACGGCCUGCGGGUUGUAAACCUCUUUCAGUAGAGAAGAAGCGGGAGUGACGGUACCUGCAGAAGAAGCGCCGGCUAACUACGUG
Molecule: ribosomal RNA, 466 nt
Filed under: uncultured bacterium
Lineage: Bacteria
Description: partial 16S ribosomal RNA
Rfam family: Bacterial small subunit ribosomal RNA
Source: RNAcentral